UAAAAUUCAAAAUCAACAAAAUGUAAAUAAAAACAAACACAUAUGUAAUAAUAAUAAUGUACAUAUAAAAAGUUAUUUUUUUUUUGUAAUUUGUUGCUAAUUAUUAGGUUGAAGUGUACACAAACUGAAAUAAUUGAUAUAGAUAUUUAAAUUAGAUGGCUGUAAAUAGUUACUUUUAUAAAUUACGUCAGUUAAAAACAUUCAAAAACUGUCGUCUAUGGAGUACAUCAUUUGCUAAUUCGGAGUUAAACCCCGACAAUCCAGAUUUUGAGGAGAACAGUGAAGUCAAUCAACCAAGCACAGCGAGACUGACGCGACAUGUAAGAGAAAUUAAUGCGUUCUUUGAACAACACCCAGAUUUCCAACAUUUAAAAAGAUGGGUCCCAAAAAAAGUCUUAGAAACAAGACCUUACAAAAGUCCUGAGCAUAUAUAUUUAGUGUGCCCCAAGAUUGCAACAUCAGUAGCAAGACAUAUAAAACAAAGAAUCCAAGGUGUCACUUUUAUUGGAGAAAGUAAUGCUGGGUUUGGCUUGAUUACGAAAGCAUUAUUGAAUGAAGGAGUUUCCUCACCAAUAAGGAUAUAUGAAAGUUUACCAGAAUUUCAGCAAUAUCUAAAUGAAAGCUUUAAAAAUGAAGAUCGAGUAAUUUUAUACCCUAAGGAUUUUUUCUCACUUAGGAAACAUGCCUCAAUAGAUAGGUUAAAUUGUAGCUCCACAGUUUCUGAAAUGAUAGAGGGGAUAUCAAUGAGGACUUGGAGAGAUGAGCCUGCAAUAACUCUAGUUGGUACAUUAACCAAUAAUACAUUUUUAAAAUACCUUAUAAGGUGUCUAAUUUUACAAAGGGAGCCAAUUACUUAUGGAAGAAUUGAUCUUUUCUUGAUAACACCUUUAAAUCAAUGGCAAAUUUAUACAGCUACCUCGGAUAAUGUUUAUCGCCAGUACAAGGCUGUAUCAACACUGUUGCAAACAUUUUUUGAUAUGGAAUUAAUAGACAAAUAUCCUAGGAAAUAUUUCCUUCCAUGGCAAAACCAUUCAAAGAAAAGUCGAGGGAAAAAGGAUCCGUCAAAUUUUGAGGAAGUAUGUUUGAUGAGAAUGACAAUGAAAAAAGAUUUUCCAAUAACGGCAGAUCAUUUUCUGCCUUACUAUUCUUUUAUAUCGUUUUUAUAUGCUAGAGGGUCUGGUUCCAUUAUUAGCACCUAAAAUAUAUACCAAAUAGCGGUCAAAGCCUUAUUGUUCCAAAAUUGCCCCAUGAAGACUAUUUUGAAGACAUAAACAUUUUUACAAAGUUUAAAGAGUUGACUCCCAAACAACUCAUAAGUCUUUAUAAAGAAUUAGCUGCCCA
This 1341-nucleotide unclassified non-coding RNA is filed under the name Anthonomus grandis grandis. Its description in RNAcentral is "dimethyladenosine transferase 2, mitochondrial-like". Lineage: Eukaryota; Metazoa; Arthropoda; Insecta; Coleoptera; Curculionidae. The record is from RNAcentral.